UAUCUCUGUAGAGUCUGCAUAUCAAUAAGCGGAGGAAAAGAAACUAACAAGGAUUCCCCUAGUAACGGCGAGUGAAGCGGGAAGAGCUCAAAUUUGAAAUCUUAAAGGGCUUCCCUUUACGAAUUGUAGUUUAAAGAAGUGUUUUCUGUUGGUGUUUUGGUAAAAGUUCUUUGGAAUAGGACAUCAUAGAGGGUGAGAAUCCCGUAUUUGACCAUUACUUUCCAGCGUUGUGAUACACUUUCAAAGAGUCGGAUUGUUUGGGAAUGCAGUCCAAAAUGGGUGGUAAAUUUCAUCUAAAGCUAAAUAUUGGCGAGAGACCGAUAGCGAACAAGUACCGUGAGGGAAAGAUGAAAAGAACUUUGAAAAGAGAGUUAAACAGUACGUGAAAUUGUCAAAAGGGAAGCGUUUGACACCAGUGUUGUUUUCUCGAAAAUCAAUUAAAAAAGGCAGGAUUUUGUGUUGUAUUGACUUUAUCAGCUUUCUGCACUCUUUUCUUGUCUUUUUUAAUGCACUUUUCGUUUAACAAGUCAACAUCAAUUUCUUUUGUUGUAAAAGGGUCAUUGGAAGGUGGCUUUCUUUUCGGAGAAAGUGUUUAUAGCCUUUGGCCUCUGCAAUCGGAGAGAUUGAGGUCUGCAGCGUAGAUCCUUCGGGGUUAGAUACAUUUGUGCUAAGUUAUAGCCUUUCAUAGACAACUUGUUGACUAUGAUCAGUCAUGUAGCUUACUCGCUUAUGCUAUUUUACCUACGCUUAGGAUGUUGACGAUCAGCUGAGCGCG
RNAcentral lists this ribosomal RNA (775 nucleotides) under uncultured Neocallimastigales. RNAcentral's name for it is "partial large subunit ribosomal RNA". It matches the Rfam family "Eukaryotic large subunit ribosomal RNA", at positions 24 to 627 of the family's 3401-position model. The record is from RNAcentral. Lineage: Eukaryota; Fungi; Neocallimastigomycota; Neocallimastigomycetes; Neocallimastigales.